GCCGCGAAAGCCAGGCCUUCAUAUUUUGUUGUGUAAUGAUCCUUUCCGUAGGGUGACCUGCGGAGGGAUCAUUACACAACAAAAUAUGAAGGCCUGGCUUUCGCGGCCGGCUGAAGUAUUUUUUUCACCCAUGUCUUUUGCGCACUUGUUGUUUCCUGGGCGGGUUCGCCCGCCACCAGGACCAAACCAUAAACCUUUUUUUCUUAUGCAGUUUCCAUCAGCGUCAGUAAAAACAAUGUAAUUAUUACAACUUUCAACAACGGAUCUCUUGGUUCUGGCAUCGAUGAAGAACGCAGCGAAAUGCGAUACGUAGUGUGAAUUGCAGAAUUCAGUGAAUCAUCGAAUCUUUGAACGCACAUUGCGCCCUUUGGUAUUCCAAAGGGCAUGCCUGUUCGAGCGUCAUUUGUACCUUCAAGCUUUGCUUGGUGUUGGGCGUUUUUUUGUCUCCCUCUUUCUGGGAGACUCGCCUUAAAACGAUUGGCAGCCGGCCUACUGGUUUCGGAGCGCAGCACAUUUUUUGCGCUUUGUAUCAGGAGAAAAGGACGGUACUCCAUCAAGACUCUACAUUUUUCACUUUUGACCUCGGAUCAGGUAGGGAUACCCGCUGAACUUAAGCAUAUCAAUAAGCGGAGGAA
RNAcentral lists this ribosomal RNA (635 nucleotides) under Bipolaris oryzae. Its description in RNAcentral is "eukaryotic LSU rRNA". The stretch from base 249 to 402 matches the Rfam family "5.8S ribosomal RNA". The record is from RNAcentral. Lineage: Eukaryota; Fungi; Ascomycota; Dothideomycetes; Pleosporales; Pleosporaceae.